GCCAAUCGGAUGCUGGGCACGCAAGAGCAACAGAAAAAUAUAAUCAACACGCCUAAAACAAAUACAGGACUUGUAUCACGUGCAUAUUCAAUUAAUAUUAUUAAUUUUUGUUUUUGUGGUCGAGUGCGAGUGCAGUGUCAAAAACAUAGAUAAAUCAAGUUAAAAGUUUAUUUUUGUUCUGGUGUGACAAGGGUCCAGCUGUGGGCGAACAAACGAAAUUCAGCCAAAUCAUAAACAAAAACAAAGCCUGGCCGAUGCCAUGGCUACUGAUUUGGGCGCCACGUGCAGACGGCGUCGCCGCCACAGUCAGCGACUAUAGUUUGUACACUGAUAUCAACAACAAUUACAAUAAUAAUAGCAACAGCAAAAGUAAAAGCAACAACAGUUGUUGGCCAUAAAGCCCAUAAGCUGAGAGUGGCGCCGCAGCAUCUUAAAGUGUUUUGGUCACACCAUAAAUCAAGUGACAGGCCCCGCGAACGGCGCGCAUAAACAAAACUCAUUUGCACACGUUGUCCUUAGCGCCGUGUCCUUUUGUCGCUGUCCCCCACGGACACCACUAGCAGCAGUAGCGGCGGCGGCAGCAGCGCAUAAAUUUGCCAACAGUUGGCAGCGCCGCACGCACACUGUCCAAAGGCUUUGGGCGCUCCAAACUUGUUUUCAAUUCGAAUGUGCAAAUUGCAGGAUGCCAGGAUUUGGAUGCUAAAUUACGUUUAAGCAUCCGGCGACAAUUUUUGCCCAAAAACAUUUCCGCGCAAGAACGACGGUAACAACAGCGGCAACAGCAGCAACAGCAGCAGCAGCAACAACAACUGCAACAUUUUCCCUGCUGUCGACAACAUUUUAUGACGGUCACAUAAUAACGUGUUGCGACAAAAAAGGCGGUAAAAGCCGCGCGACUGCAGGAGUCGAAGAGGAUGCAAAUUACGUGCCACAUGAGGCGCCAAAGCUUUUGAUUUGAUUGCAAUACGCUCAUUCGGUCAUUCGCUCAUUUGGUCAAGUGGUCAUUAGAUCCGUUGGCCAUUUAACCAGUUACUCAUUCGGCCAAACAGUGGGCUUAGUCUGAUUGAUUGACUGCAGGAGGCGGAGCUCACGUUGAUUGCCUCGUUUCGUGGGACAAUGAACAAAAAUUCGUCAUUGCCGCUGGCCACCAUUCUGACCAACAGCAGCAAUAGCAACAGCAACAGCAACAGCAACAGUAACAACAGCA
Molecule: long non-coding RNA, 1207 nt
Organism: Drosophila hydei
Lineage: Eukaryota; Metazoa; Arthropoda; Insecta; Diptera; Drosophilidae
Exons: 3
Source: RefSeq, a predicted model, not a curated record